Pistacia vera is the source of this 778-nucleotide long non-coding RNA. RefSeq lists it as uncharacterized. NCBI's taxonomy places the organism in Eukaryota, Viridiplantae, Streptophyta, Magnoliopsida, Sapindales, Anacardiaceae. The transcript is spliced from 3 exons. The record is from RefSeq and is a predicted model, not a curated record.
GACAAUAAACUCUCUGCCCAAAUUCGUGGUAGAAAAUACAGUCUUCGUCGGGGCAAAGAACUCUCUGGAAUUUUUGAGAAAAUUCUGGAAAACUUGCUUAAGGGCAAAAUAGUUAUUCCACCCAUAAUCAGUUGAAAGUGUGGGGAGUGAAAAGAAGUAGAAUUACAUGGAGAAUACAAUAGAAACGAGGACAUUAAUUUAAUUGACUAAGGGACAUAGAUGAAAUUUUAUAGAAAGUGCAAGGGUAAAAUAAGAAUCUAUAAGUAUUAUUAUGUUAUAUUAAGGAUGUAAGAAUGAAACCCUAGCCACUUUUCCCUUUCAUUCACGCCACUCUCCACCCAAAUUCUCUCAAAUUUCUUUAAUCAAUUUCCAAGGAAAUUCAUAGAGUUUGGUUCAUUUUUUGUAGAAUUUCAAUCUUAAGCAUCCCUAAGGUUUAAGAGAAAGAGAGUUGUAUCAAAAGGAGACUAAAGUGUUUGGGUUGCUCAUAUCUAAGGUAAUGGAUGAGAAGGGGUCAGUCGAAACGUCAAGAAGCGGAAGAACUUGAUAACACUAUCCGAUUGUAAUUUGAGUUUAUUGUUUUUGACACUAUGAUUGAAUAUAGAGAUUUGUGUAUAAAAAGAAAUUAGCUAUGGACCCUCUAUUUCAUGCUUAUAUAAUUUCUAUAUAUGUUUAGUGAGUUUACUUAUAUUUCACAAGUAUACUAGCUAAAGUGAGUCGUUGAUAUUUGAAUUCAACGUUAAAUAUACAGCAUAGAAUUGGGUUGCCAAAAGCAGUAGCC